AACGCUGGCGACGCGCCUAACACAUGCAAGUCGAACGGUAGCACAGAGAGCUUGCUCUCGGGUGACGAGUGGCGGACGGGUGAGUAAUGUCUGGGAAACUGCCUGAUGGAGGGGAUAACUACUGGAAACGGUAGCUAAUACCGCAUAACGUCGCAAGACCAAAGAGGGGACCUUCGGGCCUCUUGCCAUCAGAUGUGCCCAGAUGGGAUUAGCUAGUAGGUGGGGUAACGGCUCACCUAGGCGACGAUCCCUAGCUGGUCUGAGAGGAUGACCAGCCACACUGGAACUGAGACACGGUCCAGACUCCUACGGGAGGCAGCAGUGGGGAAUAUUGCACAAUGGGCGCAAGCCUGAUGCAGCCAUGCCGCGUGUAUGAAGAAGGCCUUCGGGUUGUAAAGUACUUUCAGCGGGGAGGAAGGGAGUAAGGUUAAUAACCUUAUUCAUUGACGUUACCCGCAGAAGAAGCACCGGCUAACUCCGUG
Molecule: ribosomal RNA, 482 nt
Filed under: uncultured bacterium
Lineage: Bacteria
Description: bacterial SSU rRNA
Rfam family: Bacterial small subunit ribosomal RNA
Source: RNAcentral